UCUAUCCGCCCGGGUACUACAAGCAUUAGCUUAAAACCCAAAGGACUUGGCGGUGCUUUAGACCCACCUAGAGGAGCCUGUCCUAGAACCGAUACCCCCCGUUCAACCUCACCACUUCUGGCUUAAUAUUCCGCCUGUAUACCUCCGUCGUCAGCUUACCCCGUGAGGGAGUCAUAGUAAGCUAAAUUGGUACGCCCCCCAAAACGUCAGGUCAAGGUGCAGCGCACGAAGUGUGGAAGANAUGGGCUACAUUUUCUGGUCCAGAAAAUUACGAAGGGGGAAAAUGAAAAACCCCCUGAAGGAGGAUUUAGCAGUAAGCAAGGAAUAGAGUGCCCUGCUG
RNAcentral lists this ribosomal RNA (340 nucleotides) under Diaphus theta (California headlightfish). RNAcentral describes it as "partial 12S ribosomal RNA". It matches the Rfam family "Bacterial small subunit ribosomal RNA", at positions 864 to 1364 of the family's 1533-position model. Lineage: Eukaryota; Metazoa; Chordata; Actinopteri; Myctophiformes; Myctophidae. The record is from RNAcentral.